This is a long non-coding RNA of Lagopus leucura (white-tailed ptarmigan), 386 nucleotides long. RefSeq lists it as uncharacterized. Lineage: Eukaryota; Metazoa; Chordata; Aves; Galliformes; Phasianidae. The transcript is spliced from 3 exons. The record is from RefSeq and is a predicted model, not a curated record.
GGGAGCAGAGCGCGGGGUGCAGUGGCGCGGGGCCGCUCGGAGCUGCCGGAGUGGUGGCACCGCGUUUGGGCCACUGCAGAAAAUUACACGGCAGGCAGAAUGCUGGGUCCAGCCAUCCGGAGCGCUUGAAGAAACGAGACGCUAGGGACGAUGAGUCCACCGCCUCCCCAGGCAGCCCAUUCCAGUGCCACUCUUGGAGACAGAAUUUUUCCUAACAUCAACCUGAACCCCCCUGGUGUAACUUGAGGCCGUUCCUUCCAGUCCUGUCACUAUUAUGAAGGAGCAGAGGAUGAACCCCCUCCUCAACCCCCACCACAACCUCCCUUCAGGUAGCUGUAGAGAACAAUGAGGUCUUCCCUGAACCUGCUCUUUUCCAGGCUGAACAA